AUACGGAGGAUCCAAGCGUUAUCCGGAUUUAUUGGGUUUAAAGGGUGCGCAGGCGGCCUUAUAAGUCAGUGGUGAAAUCUCCCGGCUCAACCGGGAAACUGCCAUUGAUACUGUAGGGCUAGAAUACAGACGAGGUAGGCGGAAUGUAGCAUGUAGCGGUGAAAUGCUUAGAUAUGCUACAGAACACCGAUCGCGAAGGCAGCUUACCAGACUGUAAUUGACGCUAAGGCACGAAAGCGUGGGGAGCGAACAGGAUUAGAAACCCCUGUAGUCC
Molecule: ribosomal RNA, 274 nt
Filed under: uncultured bacterium
Lineage: Bacteria
Description: partial 16S ribosomal RNA
Rfam family: Bacterial small subunit ribosomal RNA
Source: RNAcentral